GGWUGGUGCCUUCGGGACUCAGACACAGGUGCUGCAUGGCUGUCGUCAGCUCGCUGUCGWRAGAUGUUGGGUUAAGUCCCGUAACGAGCGCAACCCUUGUCCUUAGUUACCAGCACCUCGGGUGGGCACUCUAAGGAGACUGCCGGUGACAAACCGGAGGAAGGUGGGGAUGACGUCAAGUCAUCAUGGCCCUUACGGCCAGGGCUACACACGUGCUACAAUGGUCGGUACAAAGGGUUGCCAAGCCGCGAGGUGGAGCUAAUCCCAUAAAACCGAUCGUAGUCCGGAUCGCAGUCUGCAACUCGACUGCGUGAAGUCGGAAUCGCUAGUAAUCGUGAAUCAGAAUGUCACGGUGAAUACGUUCCCGGGUCUUGUACACACCG
Molecule: ribosomal RNA, 383 nt
Filed under: Pseudomonas aeruginosa
Lineage: Bacteria; Pseudomonadati; Pseudomonadota; Gammaproteobacteria; Pseudomonadales; Pseudomonadaceae
Description: bacterial SSU rRNA
Source: RNAcentral